GAUGAAGAACGUAGCGAAAUGCGAUAAGUAAUGUGAAUUGCAGAAUUCAGUGAAUCAUCGAAUCUUUGAACGCACAUUGCGCCCGGUAGUAAUCUGCCGGACAUGCCUGUCCGAGCGUCAUUUCAACCCUCGAACCACUAUUCGCGUAGCUGGAUCGGUGUUGGGGCACUACGGUGGAAUACCCGUAGGCCCCGAAAUGAAGUGGCGGUCCCGCCGCGGCGCCCCCAUGCGUAGUAACAUCUCGUCUCGCAUCGGGUCCCGGCGGAGGCCUGCCGUCAAGCCUAUUUUCUAAUUACAGAUGGUUUGACCUCGGAUCAGGUAGGGUUACCCGCUGAACUUAAGCAUAUCAAUAAGCGGAGGA
Molecule: unclassified non-coding RNA, 361 nt
Filed under: soil metagenome
Description: partial contains 5.8S ribosomal RNA, internal transcribed spacer 2, and large subunit ribosomal RNA
Rfam family: 5.8S ribosomal RNA (bases 1-120)
Source: RNAcentral